This is a long non-coding RNA of Antechinus flavipes (yellow-footed antechinus), 1462 nucleotides long. RefSeq lists it as uncharacterized. The record is from RefSeq and is a predicted model, not a curated record. Lineage: Eukaryota; Metazoa; Chordata; Mammalia; Dasyuromorphia; Dasyuridae. The transcript has 3 exons.
CCCGUGGGAAGUCUCCAUUUCCCUUCUGGCAGAUGAGAACAAAUGCUUCAUUGAAGAGUUAAUAACUCAUGUUUUGGAAGCCAUGAGCACUAUGUAGUUCCCAGGAAUUCAGAUAUUUUAUUUCUCACGUAGUGAGAAAGACCUAGUGGAUAAAAUGGCAAGGAUUAGAAAUAAAACCUGCAUGUUGCCCCGAUGAGAAACACAAACAGAAAGUCACCGGAUAGUUGGGAGCUAUUCAUUUAAAGAGACAGCAUGCAUGCUUGCCCAGAGUUCAAAUUUCAAAAGCAAUCAUUAGACGAGUUAUGGCAAGCUCUGUAAUCAAGGCUCUCCUGAUUUUAUCCCACUCAGAUUGGGGCUCCACUGAGACAAUCAUUUCUUAUAUUUCCUGCUCCUGGCUUUCUCUUUAAAAUUAUUGCACUACUUCUUUUUUUUGUUUGUUUCACAAAUUAUACACAGUCAGCAUUUGGCACUUCAUAAAAGUUUACUGAUUAGAAUGCAUGUAUUUCUCACCUCUUACCAUUCCUGGGUGGAGUGCUUGAGUAGGUGAGAGUGUGGAGAGUAAAGGGCAACUACAAUGUAGAAGAAUGAAUAGGAGAAACUUAUCCAGGCAGAGGAAGGCAGAUCCAUUAGGAAAAAAGGUGAAAAGGAAAUAUGGCUCCUGUAGAAAACAUUUGCUGCUGAAACUCAGAACAUGAAUACCCAAAUACUAAAGAAAAUAUUCUCGGAGCUACCCUGGAAGCCACUAAGAAACUUUCCAGUAAAUGGAGAAGGAUGACUGGACAGGUAACUUGGAAUAUGAGCUCAGAAAACUGAAGCAACAGACAUCAGGGAAUACAUUUUUAGACAUAGUCUUCCGAGCUCUAUGCUGACUCCAGACCACCCAGAGGAGUAUUGCCACAACAGUCUUGACCUCUGUAUUACAAUCUCCCAGGGAUGAUGUCUGGGGCAGGAUGAUAUUUCCUAGACUUUUUCGAAUGAGCAAGAGCAUCUUUUAUUUCUAAAAUAAUUGCAUCAUAUAUUUUUAUCAUGUUUAACAUAUAUUGGAUUACUUGCAAUUUAGGGGAGAGUGUGGGAGGAAGAGGGGGAAAAUUGGAACACAAGGUUUUGAAAGGGUCAAUGUUGAAAAAUUAUCUUUGCAUAUGUUUUGAAAACAAAAAGCUUCAAUAAAUAAUAAAAUAAAAAUAACUGUAUCCCACCCAAUUGAUAUAAGCCCAGUUACCUAAUUAUCUGCCCGUACCUGGAAACAAGUAAUUGUUGACCUAGGAUGAUUUGGUCUCUUGAAAGAAUGAGGUGGGUCACCAAUCUAAUUCCACUGAAGAGUGACCAAAGCUGAGAAAAGGUACGCAUGGACCUUUGGUCAGUUUGGAAAAUCAUGUCCAUUCAACAAUUCAAAAUAAUGUUUUUUGAAAUAUCUAUAAUGUGUUAAGCAUUGUGCCAGGCCCUUGGAUUGUAAAAUCUAAAC